GACGAACCGUGCGAACGUUGUUCGGAAUCACUGGGCUUAAAGGGCGCGUAGGCGGCCGGGUUGGUCGUGGGUGAAAUCCCCCAGCUUAACUGGGGAAUUGCCUACGAUACUGCCUGGCUCGAGGGAGGAAGGGGCGGCCGGAACUGUCGGUGGAGCGGUGAAAUGCGUUGAGAUCGACAGGAACGCCGGUGGCGAAAGCGGCUUACUGGGUCUCUUCUGACGCUGAGGUACGAAAGCUAGGGGAGCGAAGGGG
Molecule: ribosomal RNA, 253 nt
Filed under: uncultured bacterium
Lineage: Bacteria
Description: partial 16S ribosomal RNA
Rfam family: Bacterial small subunit ribosomal RNA
Source: RNAcentral